This 351-nucleotide long non-coding RNA is filed under the name Zea mays. RNAcentral describes it as "drought-responsive long non-coding RNA". Lineage: Eukaryota; Viridiplantae; Streptophyta; Magnoliopsida; Poales; Poaceae. The record is from RNAcentral.
ACAGCGCCAGCCGCCCACCACCAACAAUGCCAAAAUCCCCUCCCUCUCUUGGUCUUUCCUAUAUAGCCGCAGGAGAGGGCGGGGGAUCGGAGCAGGUGAUAGGGGGGAAAAUCGGGAAGCCUUCGGAGAAAAGAAAAGGGCAACCGAGACCGUGAGAGAGGGGAAGCGGGGAGCCUUGUCCGAUCCGGUGCAGCCCGCGCGUCAAACUCCCGGAUAACUGUGGCAUAUGAUCCCAAAUCUUGAUCCACUUGAAGUGUUCAGUACAUUCUGUAGGUUAGUACCAACCUUUUGUGUAAAUGUCAAAUGAACAUAUUAAUUAUGUGCUUCAGGUCUCUGUUUUUUUCUUGAUCU